Molecule: long non-coding RNA, 2264 nt
Organism: Zingiber officinale
Lineage: Eukaryota; Viridiplantae; Streptophyta; Magnoliopsida; Zingiberales; Zingiberaceae
Exons: 2
Source: RefSeq, a predicted model, not a curated record
GCAAACCCUGACAACCAUUACAAGUAAUUCAACUUGUUGACCUUGUUUUUGUUCAAUGCAAUGUAUGUUCAGGCAUUCAAUUCCUUGGCCUUACCAAGAGAUUCUAAUAGGAACUCCAAGGCCUUCCCCUUGUCCCAUUUAAUGGUGGGGCGAAUCUCCAAUACCUACUUCAUCGGAUAAAUCAUAGCAAAAAUAAUUAGCACAAGCUAAAUCCAUGCUUAAGAAGGAAAAUUAGUGUGACUAAAAGUGCCACCUUUCUCCCUUGAGUAAUCCUUAACUUGGGGUAUUCCUUUAACACUAGGCACACCUGCUCCACUAGCAAACCCCAAUGCUGCAUAAAGAAUUUGCAUAAUAGAGCAUGAGCAACUAAUGAAGGAGAAGACAUUGUUAUUAUAAUUUAUAUGCAUGGAGGGCGAAGUAUAACUAUGUAAGAUCACUUUGCUGACCUUUUCUUCCACACAUCUGAAGUGGACAGAUACACAAAACUUGUUGUUCUCCACCUUGGCACCAGGAAUGGGCUUGGUCUUCUCCAGUAACUUUUUGUGAACCUGAUUAAAGGGAAAUGAUUCAGUGUGUAUUAAUUAGUAUCAUGAAAAGUUUCAAGGAAAAAAAAAAAGUGGAAAUUGAAGAACCAACCUCAUUCAUUGCAGGAAAGGCUUUAUUUGGAGGGAAAAGUACUACCUUGGUGUAUUUGGUUCCUUUGGGAACUUUGAUGUCCAUGCCAUGGCUUCCAGCGUAGAAUAACUCGGUUAAUUUUACAAAAUCAUAUACCUGAAAUUGAUGCAUGCAUUAGAAUUUAGUAGUUGAGUAGCAGAACAAGCAGGCGAAGUGUCAAGAAAUUGCUGGCUACUUUGCUCCUGCAGCGCCCGCUCACAAUUGCUGUCGGGAAGCACCGUGCGACCUCCUUCACCGCCGCUCUCAUCUGAGCACAGAGAUUGCAAACAGGCGAUCAAAAUCCCAUCUUUUGCCUCUUUUUUUUUUCUUUCUUUCUAGCAUUGAUUUCAUGAAUGAAUGCAGGGGAAGCUCACCGCUUCGGACAUGAAGGCGGAGUCGGGAUCGUCGACGAUGGGGGAGAGAGUUCCGUCGUAGUCCAAGAACAUCACGAUUUGUUUCCCCUUCGUGGCGUUCAUGAUCUGCUCAAACUUGCUCAAAGCCGAGGGAUGCUGAAUCUGCUCCAAGCAAAUGCAAUUACGCGUCAGAACUGGAAAGAUUCGAGCUUUUUGAUCGUUUGAGAUAACGGCGACUUACUAUCCACGCGGAGUAUUCGGGGAUCUCGAGCUCGUCGGCGGGCGCUGCAGCCAGGGCGGCGGCCGCCUUCGCGUGGGUCGGAGAGGAAGCCUUCAUCGACUCCACCCACCCGUUAGCCCGCCCUCCGCUGAGCUCGAUGGAAGAAUAAUGCUUCUUCCUGAUCGACGCGCCGCCGCCGCCGCUGCGCGGCGGCGGGUACGGCACCGCGGCCGGCGAGUUCGCCGGCGUUGCGAUCCCCGGCAUCGCCUCAGGCACCAACAUGUUCUGGCUCGUCAUUUUAACAGAAACCGGGGCGAAAAUGUCAGAGAAGAAGAGCAAAGAUCGGAUUUCUUUUCCUCGUCCCGGUCGACCAAAAAUAGGAGCUCCGAGGAUUCCUCGACUCGGUAAAGCGGUGCGGGUAGUUGAGAUCGGGAGUUAGCGAUGGAGGAGGUGUCGCGGGGGCGGUGGAUUUAUGGGUGGCGGAGGGAGCAAGAGGACAAGGAAGGGUGGGUCCCGCCCGAGCUGGAAGCCUGGAACGGAGUAGAGCUCGGGCGGGCCCCUCACCGGUCCAAACCCGUCGACGUGGCGGCGGACGCAGCGCACGAGCGCGCUGUGCUCACGUGUUGACGGUCGGAGGCAAUAAAUCCAAGAAGCCUCUAAUAAUUAAUUAUUAAUACGCAUCCAAAUAAUUAAUGAAUCAUUAACAUUUAACCCUGCGUUUAGGGUAUCUAUUAAUUAAAUAGCUCUUCUUUUUUUAUUCUUCCUUCAAAUCUUCCAAGACAGUUUUAGUUUAUCAACAAAGAACCACAUUACCAAUGUUACAUGGUUUAAUUGAGAUUGAAUUGUUUUAGGGCUUCAAUACGCGCGGCAUCAAGCAAGUUGCUCCACAUAUAAAUGGCAAAUUGUAUUUGGAUUGAAUUAGUGUUGGACAGAAUCGAGUUCUUGCUUAUAUUGUAUUUUCUUUAUGGAAUAUGUGUUGAUUACUUUUGGAAGAAUAAACUAAUCGGGAACUAUAAUUAUCAGCUUUUUGGAGUUGA